This 468-nucleotide long non-coding RNA is filed under the name Calidris pugnax (ruff). RNAcentral describes it as "lncRNA (ENSCPUG00000010756.1)". The record is from RNAcentral. Lineage: Eukaryota; Metazoa; Chordata; Aves; Charadriiformes; Scolopacidae.
AUGAACGACAUGGAGUCAGAAAAGUAUCCAGUCAUUUAUACGAGCUCUGAAAUGAGUCGGAACAGAGAAACCUGCCUGGGAGCACUGGGACCCCCAACUGGGAGCACUGGGGUCAUACUGGGAGCACUGGGACCCCCAACUGGGAGCACUGGGAGCUCUGGGGUGGUGCUUGAAGAGCUGUGUCUCUGGCAUCGCACUGGUCCGUACUGGUUUUUACUGGUCUAUAUGGUCCAUACUGGUCUGUACUGGUUCUUACUGGCCCAUAUGGUCCAUACUGGUUUGUACUGGUCCGUACUGGUCCGUACUGGUUCUUUCUGGCCCACAUGGUCCAUAGUGGUUUUCCCUGAACGCAUCGAUCCCUGAACGCAUCGAUCCCUGAACGCAUCGAUCCCUGAACCCAUCGAUCCCUGAACCCAUCGAUCACUGAACCAAUCGAUCGAUGAACUCGCACUCAGGGUCCCGGGGGGG